Dama dama (fallow deer) is the source of this 4184-nucleotide long non-coding RNA. RefSeq lists it as uncharacterized. Lineage: Eukaryota; Metazoa; Chordata; Mammalia; Artiodactyla; Cervidae. The transcript is spliced from 4 exons. The record is from RefSeq and is a predicted model, not a curated record.
GUAAGGUUCUGGAACUGUGGGUUACAGCCUUGGAAUCUGGGCACACUCUGAUGCUCUGGGUUCCAGCACCUGACUUAUACCCACCCAGAUCAAACAACCUUUCCAAGAACAGAAGGAUUCCAGGCGUCCCGGGGCAACGAUGACUCAUGCAGCACCCCCUCCCAUUUCGCCAAACUGCCGUCUCCGCCCACCCCCAAACAAUCUCAACGACGCACCGCGACUCUGGGAGCUUUGCUGGGGGCUAAAGGGGUUUCAUCUUCAUCCUCGCAUCCCAGCAGCCUAAACCUCCCCCCUCUCAGUCUACAAGCUUGCCUCCUUUCCCACCCGAUCCCUCAGUUGAGCAGAGGAGAUGGAUGCGACAUCAACAUUUGGGACUCGCGAGCCACUAACAGCAGCGCGCGGAAGGGGGGGCAGCCAAGCGCCCUGGGGUUGAUGUGUUGUACAUUUCCAGGGAGCAUCAGUGAUAUCAUCAUCUAUGUGGAUAGUGCCCUUGAAGCGUACAGGACACGACCUUCGCAACCAUAUUCAGUUUGAUCAACAACAUAAACUGGGAGCUCAGUGGUCUAAGAGGACUUGACGUGUGGAAUGAAGGUCUCUCAGCCUACGAUGUAUUCAGCCCUCCCCACUACCCAGCCUCACAUGGAUACCAAUGCAGCCAUGUCAAGUGACAUUCAUUUGGAAGUCUGUGAACAAAAGAGAGGCACACACCUAAAAGUGAAGUUACAUGUGUGGAUGUUUAUAUGAAACAGAAAAGACACAAGAAAGCGUCUGAGACAUGAAAAACAGUGGAGGAAGAUAAACAUUUCAAGAUUCAUAUCACACUGCUGCUGCCUUGAUUCAGAGAGUUUCUAAGGAAAUAGCCAGAAGGGCUGCUCAACACUCAGCUUCCUCCCAAGGAAUAAAGAGUUUGCUAUGAGCCAAGGAAGUGCCAAGAAAAUGCCAAUUUAUGUCACACUAACAUCUUUCUUAAAGCUGAACGUGGACUUCAGAAAUGUAAACUUUUGGCUCCAGUGAGCACAGCCAGCCUUAAGGCAUUGAUAUUAGGUUCUUCUGAAGGACUGAGGGAAAUUUGAGAAGAGAUCAAAUUAGACACCCAGUAAUUAGAAAAUGUACUGACACCAGAGUUUUACUCACAAGAGUGGUGGGGUCAACUUUUCCAUGGCACCUGAUGUGAACUCAGAAAAAUGGCAACCUGAAAACAGUGUUUGGAAAUGAUUUCACUGGAGACAGACAGAGACAGCAAACGCUGGAAGGAGAGGGAACGAGAGACAAACUAAAGUGAGACUCUGUAAUUGAGAAGACCUGCGGGAACCAGCAGAAAAAGUUUCCUGCCACAGACAAAACAACCUUCAAAGGCUACCUUCUUUCUCUUGUCGCUGGGAUAAAGUUGCUUUUGGAAUAACCCCCAAUGCAUUAUACAUAUUUAAAACUCUCCUCUCUGGGUUUAUAAUUUUCGCAGAGACAGCUUCCUGCCAACGUAAGUCAUGAAUGUAAGAUGAUGCUCCUUUGUGGGGUUGUAAAGACAAUCUAAGAACAAGUGAUUUCAGAGUCACAAACUUCACAGCUGGGGAGCAUUUCCAUUGCCUAAUGCACUUUCCCUUGAAGCUUUCAUUGUUUCACUCUUACCCAGUGGUGUCAUUAUUUGACUUACCUCAUCGGGGAAAUCACUGUUUAAAAACUGAAUAUAAACGGUGAAAUAGUUUUGUACUUAUCUUUUCCAGGAUAAUAGCUUCCCUCCCCUGCUCCCAGUUCCCGCCACAGAAGGGUUAGGCCCCUGUGGGUGAUGAAUUGUCCCAAAGAGUUUGACAGUUCCAGGGAGAGAAAUGAGAGUAAAAAUAACUAGCUGAUUACCAAUAGGAAGCAAAUUGGCCACUUGAGAAUUCAGUGGCUAGAAAGAUGACAAAUGAGAAAACGAAAAUCCUCAUCAAGAGAUGAGGCUUUCUGAUUAGGCCAAGUGCUUUCCAUGCCUCUCCCUCCCUGCUGUGUGAUGAUGUACAUCCGAUGGGACCUCGUUUUGUAUUGGGGGCAGUCACUUCCAAAUGGGUGUUUGAAAGACUUUGAAGUAUUUCAUUAUAACCAGGAAGCAUUCAGGGGCUGAGCAAGUAAAAUGGAAGAUGCUCUAUCUUGGGCUGUGGAAUGUACAUUUAUAGAAGGAACCCACGUCUGGUUGAUUUGGUCUGGCUUUUUAUUCCAUCACCCCAUAAGGCAGGCUUCCAAGAUUUUCUGGACUCUGGAAGAAAAUAAAAGUGAGAGUGUUCUUGGCCAAGGAAAUUCACAUUCAAGGCAGAUUCAAGGAUUUCAAUAUGUGGAUAGACUGGGUUUUCUCUGUUAAGAGUCAACUACUAAAAAUAGAAAUAAUUUGGGAAUCCUUUAAAGAGAGGCCAUUUUUGCUAGUCCUCAUUUGAAUAAAUCCAUAAAGUGACAGAGGGUAUAUAAUGAACUAUAGACAUGCUAGCUGUCCUCAAAAGCCAUAAAUGUAUCAGUGGUAUUAAGUCAUUUGUGCAUGAAGAGACAAAACAGACCAUCAACCAUUAGCCUCCAACUGGGCACAGCCAUAAGAGUUGUAGAAAGUAAGAAGAGAAACUGGGAAUUUUGAGUUAGGUAAUCAGAAUAGAAUUCAGGGAGGAAGGGUGAUAAGAUGCAGGCCUUGAAGGAUGAAUAGAACUAUAGCAAAUUUCUGAGUGAGCACUGUUUGAAUGGAUAACAGCACUAUUUUCUUUUUUAAAAAAAUCAUUUGUUAAAAAGUGACCGCAAGUGGUUUGUCUUGAGUAAAGGAGUUUGGAAAGAUGAAUCGGGAUGUAGGUUUCCCACAUAUGCAUGGGCCUUCCACACCAGGCACAUGUGGGUUUGAUCUUAGGAGCAGUGGAGGAACAUGAGUGGUUCUGAGUAGUGUUAGAACUGUUUUUAGAGGUAUGUUAUCCCUGUCAGUGAAAAGAAAAGGCAAAAGGAUGUUCUCUGGAGCUUUACUAAUAGGUCAGAUUAAAAGAUAAGGCCACCAUUUUGACACCUGUACUAUGGAAGAGAAGAAUGCAUAACAGUGCUUGGUACACAGAGGGGCUCAACCAGUACUGCUGAAUGAGCCUGAAUUUUCUCAGAAUCAGAGUAUUAUCAUUUCCUAGAAUAGCUGAGGAAGACCUGAGGUUGCCUCAGCCCUCUCAAGAGGUAGCAAUGAAUGAUUUGAAGAAGACCAGAUUAGGAGUUAUGUGAACCUGAAAAUUUAAAUUGACCUUCAUGGGUCUAUAUUAUCUCAGUUAAGAAGACAAAGGUUAGUUUUGUGAAUGAACUCUAAUAGAAGAAAGCUUUUUGUGUAUAUUUUUGGAGAGCCAUGUGUACCUUGAGUUGAAUGCUUGGAGGACUCUGUGACCCAACUCAAGGUUAAGAACCUAGGAAUUACAUUCCCUUUGGAAAACAAGAGAUGGUGAUUCUGAGAGUCGGAGAAUGAUUUUGUUCUCUGGAAGGACAACUGGGACAUCUGGAACCAUAGCUCUGCCAAUCUUGUCACCUCGGAGGCCUGUGACUGAUUGUUUUGACUGAAAUGAGGAGGAAAGGAUUUUGUUUCUAAAUGUCAACCCAGCCUCAGAUUCCCCAGCAAUUUAAGGAAUAUUAUUGAUCUUAUCAGGCAUGCUGGGGUAUAAUUGACCAUCGAAAAGAGACAAAUCAUUGAAAGACACUUGCCCUCAACAGAAAGUGACAUUGGCAAAUGUAACCUCUGACAUACCUUUUUUUGUAGAAUUUUUUUGCAUUUCUGCUUCCUUUCAUAACAGCCUCUGUCAUAGGGUUGCUGGAAAGAAUAACUAGUUGAUGGUGGGGGAAAAGUACUUGGGAAGAUGAUGUACUUUGGCACUUAAGUCUAUUGUUCAAAAACAAUACGAAAUAAUAUUUUUGUUGAAUGGACAUGUUCAGUAGGUGCUCUGAUUUGGGGAAUUGUCAAUAAUGAUAUGAUGCUGUUUGCCAGAAAUAUGAGCAGUUAAAAAAAUGUUAUCUUUCUCUAGAAGCUAUUUUCAGUGUAAAACUCCAGCAUGGAAAGCUAGUUCUUGCAAUUUUUAAUGAGGCAGGACUCUUAAUAAUGAUUUUUGGCUUAAUGUGUUAAUGAGUAGAGAUCUGAGGGAUAAAGGACUUACAAUGUAAGAAGGAAACUCAAAGAAAGAUUAGGCUCUAAUAAAAAUAAAUAGUUUUAAAAUUGA